This 287-nucleotide long non-coding RNA is filed under the name Vitis vinifera (wine grape). RNAcentral describes it as "long non-coding RNA (VVIN_LNC003654)". Lineage: Eukaryota; Viridiplantae; Streptophyta; Magnoliopsida; Vitales; Vitaceae. The record is from RNAcentral.
AUCCUCUCCUUCAGAAGCAGGCCCAUAGCGUCCGCCUCCGCCCCUCUGGCGCCCAUGCCCGGCGUCUGAGAGCCAUGGGCUAGUGGAAGGGCUAAAACUGAAUCUAGGGUUUUGGUAUUGAGGGCCUUGAGAGAUGGAGAGGAGGAGAGUGAGGCGGAGAUAAGGGGGCGCAGGGAGAAGGAAGAGGGCUUGGGGAAAGAGGUGGUGCGGAGAUUGGGAAACCCUAGGGAGGGAAGUGGAGAAGAAACUGAGAGCAGGCCCAUUGAAAAAAAAUCAGUGAGAGUGAG